This 77-nucleotide transfer RNA is filed under the name Oscillospiraceae bacterium. Its description in RNAcentral is "tRNA-His". It matches the Rfam family "tRNA". From Rfam's summary of the family: Transfer RNA (tRNA) molecules are approximately 80 nucleotides in length. Their secondary structure includes four short double-helical elements and three loops (D, anti-codon, and T loops). Further hydrogen bonds mediate the characteristic L-shaped molecular structure. tRNAs have two regions of fundamental functional importance: the anti-codon, which is responsible for specific mRNA codon recognition, and the 3' end, to which the tRNAs corresponding amino acid is attached (by aminoacyl-tRNA synthetases). tRNAs cope with the degeneracy of the genetic code in two manners: having more than one tRNA (with a specific anti-codon) for a particular amino acid; and 'wobble' base-pairing, i.e. permitting non-standard base-pairing at the 3rd anti-codon position. The record is from RNAcentral. Lineage: Bacteria; Bacillati; Bacillota; Clostridia; Eubacteriales; Oscillospiraceae.
GUGGGUAUAGCUCAGUUGGUCAGAGCAUCGGAUUGUGGUUCCGAGGGUCGAGGGUUCAAGUCCCUUUACCCACCCCA